GACAGAGGGUGCGAACGUUGCUCGGAAUUACUGGGCGUAAAGCGCGUGUAGGCGGGUGAUCAAGUCAGGUGUGAAAUCCCUGGGCUCAACCCAGGAACUGCACUUGAAACUGGUUGCCUUGAGUGUUGGAGAGGGAAGCGGAAUUCCUGGUGUAGAGGUGAAAUUCGUAGAUAUCAGGAGGAACACCGGUGGCGAAGGCGGCUUCCUGGACAACUACUGACGCUGAGACGCGAAAGCGUGGGGAGCAAACAGGAUUAGAAACCCCCGUAGUCC
Molecule: ribosomal RNA, 273 nt
Filed under: uncultured bacterium
Lineage: Bacteria
Description: partial 16S ribosomal RNA
Rfam family: Bacterial small subunit ribosomal RNA
Source: RNAcentral